RNAcentral lists this ribosomal RNA (450 nucleotides) under uncultured bacterium. RNAcentral describes it as "partial 16S ribosomal RNA". It matches the Rfam family "Bacterial small subunit ribosomal RNA", at positions 338 to 795 of the family's 1533-position model. The record is from RNAcentral.
CCUACGGGUGGCUGCAGUAAGGAAUAUUGGUCAAUGGAGGAAACUCUGAACCAGCCAUCCCGCGUGAAGGAUGAAGGGGCUCUGCCUUGUAAACUUCUUUUGUCUGGGUCGAAAAAGCUCGAUUUAUCGAGAACUGACGGUACCAGAAGAAUAAGCACCGGCUAACUCCGUGCCCGCAGCCGCUGUAAUACGGAGGGUGCAGGCGUUAUCCGGAUUCACUGGUGCUAAAGCGGCCUAGGACGUCAGAGGUGAAAGGCUGUGGCUUAACCAUGGAAUUGCCAUUGAGACUGCAGAGCUUGAAUGAGGUUGAGGUUGGCGGAAUGUGACAUGUAGCGGUGAAAUGCUUAGAUAUGUCAUGGAACACCGAUUGCGAAGGCAGCUGACUGGACCUAUAUUGACGCUGAGGCACGAAAGCGUGGGGAGCGAACAGGAUUAGAUACCCCUGUAGUC